AGUUCAUCCUCCCACUAUUUUCAAGAAAACAGUAUGAUUACUCACAAUCACAUUGUGAACCACUAGAAAGAGAAAGUGACAUCCCAAACCCUUUUAAGAUACCCCAUAAAUGAGCUCUUAGAGAUCUAUCUUCUAACCUGUUCAUCAUAUCAUAUCUCAUAUGAUGUGGUGAAACCAACUUUAGAGAGAAUCUAAUUUAAAUUCAGAAAUUAAACCUUGUUCCUAAAGAAACAAUAGUUAAAUUAGUGAUGUUCAUCAUGAAUCGGACCAUAUCUCAUAUAGUUUCAUUGCUCCUCAC
Molecule: long non-coding RNA, 298 nt
Filed under: Elaeis guineensis (African oil palm)
Lineage: Eukaryota; Viridiplantae; Streptophyta; Magnoliopsida; Arecales; Arecaceae
Description: long non-coding RNA (EGUI_LNC021897)
Source: RNAcentral